CUACUCCUGUCGUGGUGGGAUUGCCAGUGCUUUCUCUGAUGAGCUCAGAGUCCCUUUAAGGAAGACUUAACCUAAGACUCUUGAGAGGAACUCAAGAACCAUGGCUGGAACUGGUUUGAUACUGGAUUGCAGUGAGCCACAUGCCGUACCACUGAAUCUCUCCUUUUGAGCUGGUGAACUCAUAUUCAAAUUGGCUUUCAGCUGUGAAAAAAUCUUCUGAGUGAAAAGAGGAGAUGUUUUCUCCAGUUUAGGGAUUGAGUUUGCAAUUAAAAUGAGGACAUUCAGCUGUGAGCCAGGAAAUGCUCUUUGCUCAUAGUCUCAAACAGCCUGUGAGAGGGGUCCUCACGAGAGGACUAUGAGAGCGUCUUUUCCUGUGUUCUUUUUGGGGGGAGGAGACGACACGUGGCCUUGUCUUUUCUGGGGAUAACACGAGGGGACAGUGUCUCAGGGAUGCAUCUUGUUUUAUUUUGAAUUGCAACUUGGAGAAUGGGAUGUCAGUUUUAUAUUACAGCAAACUGUGUUUGCCCUGCAUAAGGAGUCAGAAAAAGAGGAGAUGAAUUCUCACCUCUGCCUGCUUCUGCAGUCUGCCUUAGCUGCCUACUAAGUGGCCGAUCAUUCCAGCAUCUCCUAUGAACACAGUCCAUAGGCUCCAGAGCCACAGAAGCUGAGAGGAUGGAGGAAAAGGUUCUUCUCCAAUAGGAAAGAGGUUGGCACAUAGGACAGACUUUCUAGAAAGAGAGUACUUCAUGAGAAAGGCUGGUCUGGAUGAAGCACAAGCUGGAAU
This is a long non-coding RNA of Capra hircus (goat), 784 nucleotides long. RefSeq lists it as uncharacterized. The transcript is spliced from 4 exons. The record is from RefSeq and is a predicted model, not a curated record. Lineage: Eukaryota; Metazoa; Chordata; Mammalia; Artiodactyla; Bovidae.